ACGCCUUAUACAUGCAAGUCGAACGCAGUAGCAAUACUGAGUGGCAGACGGGUGAGUAUAAUGUGGGUAUCUGCCUUUUGGUUUGGAAUAACUCGGGGAAACUUGAGCUAAUACUGGAUAAGCCCUUACGGGGAAAGCUUUAUGCGCCAAAAGAUGAGCCCGCACUUGAUUAGCUUGUUGGUGAGGUAAUGGCUCACCAAGGCAACGAUCAAUAGCUGUUCUUAGAGGAAGACCAGCCACAUUGGGACUGAGACACGGCCCAGACUCCUACGGGAGGCAGCAGUAAGGAAUCUUGCACAAUGGGGGAAACCCUGAUGCAGCGAUGCCGCGUGAGUGAAGAAGGCCUUUGGGUUGUAAAACUCUUUCGUCGGGGAAGAAAAUGACUGUACCCGAAUAAGAAGGUCCGGCUAACUUCGUGCCAGCAGCCGCGGUAAUACGAAGGGACCUAGCGUAGUUCGGAAUUACUGGGCUUAAAGAGCUCGUAGGUGGUUAAAAAAGUUGGUGGUGAAAUCCCAAGGCUCAACCUUGGAACUGCCAUCAAAACUUUUUAGCUAGAGUAUGAUAGAGGAAAGUGGAAUUUCUAGUGUAGAGGUGAAAUUCGUAGAUAUUAGAAAGAACAUCAAAAGCGAAGGCAACUUUCUGGAUCAUUACUGACACUGAGGAGCGAAAGCAUGGGUAGCGAAGAGGAUUAGAUACCCUCGUAGUCCAUGCUGUAAACGAUGUGUGCUAGACGUUGGAAAUUUAAUUUUCAGUGUCGCAGCAAAAGCGUUAAGCACACCGCCUGGGGAGUACGACC
RNAcentral lists this ribosomal RNA (796 nucleotides) under uncultured Pelagibacteraceae bacterium. RNAcentral's name for it is "bacterial SSU rRNA". It matches the Rfam family "Bacterial small subunit ribosomal RNA", at positions 44 to 887 of the family's 1533-position model. Lineage: Bacteria; Pseudomonadati; Pseudomonadota; Alphaproteobacteria; Candidatus Pelagibacterales; Candidatus Pelagibacteraceae. The record is from RNAcentral.